This is a long non-coding RNA of Drosophila busckii, 293 nucleotides long. RefSeq lists it as uncharacterized. The record is from RefSeq and is a predicted model, not a curated record. The transcript is spliced from 2 exons. Lineage: Eukaryota; Metazoa; Arthropoda; Insecta; Diptera; Drosophilidae.
AAAAAAAUAUUUUAAAAUUUUAACUUUGAUUUGUUGUUAAUUGAAAUUCAAAAUGGAUGCAAAAUACUGGCUUAAGAGCUUGCAAGACUGGACUGCGGAGUUCAACUCCUCAUACUAUUGUUAAUAGCGCGUAGCAUAAGCCACUUGCUAGACCUGCAAUGUUUAUACGAAUUAAUUAUGUGUAAGCUACAGAAUGCAGCAAGCUGUCUAAUCAGUUCCGGGAGCUCCUGGAGCGUGUUUAGCGAAUUUUAGUGUACAUAACAUAAUGUCAAAUAAAGUCUUGUUAAUGUUUA